This 496-nucleotide ribosomal RNA is filed under the name uncultured bacterium. Its description in RNAcentral is "bacterial SSU rRNA". It matches the Rfam family "Bacterial small subunit ribosomal RNA", at positions 30 to 521 of the family's 1533-position model. The record is from RNAcentral.
AUUGAACGCUGGCGGCAUGCCUUACACAUGCAAGUCGAACGGUAACAGGCCGCAAGGUGCUGACGAGUGGCGAACGGGUGAGUAACACAUCGGAACGUGCCUGAUAGUGGGGGGAUAACUACUCGAAAGAGUAGCUAAUACCGCAUAAGAUCUCAGGAUGAAAGCAGGGGACCGCAAGGCCUUGCGCUAACAGAGCGGCCGAUGGCAGAUUAGGUAGUUGGUGGGAUAAAAGCUUACCAAGCCGACGAUCUGUAGCUGGUCUGAGAGGACGACCAGCCACACUGGGACUGAGACACGGCCCAGACUCCUACGGGAGGCAGCAGUGGGGAAUUUUGGACAAUGGGCGCAAGCCUGAUCCAGCAAUGCCGCGUGCAGGAUGAAGGCCUUCGGUUGUAACUGCUUUUGUACGGAACGAAAAAGACUCUGGUUAAUACCUGGGCCCGAUGACGGUACCGUAAGAAUAAGCACCGGCUAACUACGUGCCAGCAGCCGCGGU